Molecule: non-coding RNA, 1169 nt
Organism: Pelodiscus sinensis (Chinese soft-shelled turtle)
Lineage: Eukaryota; Metazoa; Chordata; Testudines; Trionychidae
Source: RefSeq, a predicted model, not a curated record
GCUCACAUCUUCCUCUCUCCUUGCCACGGCUGGAAAAAUAGUUUAUGCUGAUUUAAACAUUCCUGGAGCCAGUUCCUCUUCGAGGCCACCAAAACAAUCUCGGAACCUCAGUUCCCCUCCAUGUCCCCGGUGGCAUCGCAUCGCUGUAGGGACCGGAUGGGCUGGGAACAUCGUCCUGACAGUAGCUGUGAUAGCGCUGGGAGUUUGGGUUUCCCAGUUGCGUGUCUCUGGUGAAAGACAAUGCAGAGGAGCUCCGAAUACAUCUGAUAAGAAUGAGACUGGAAUCAUCAAUUGUACUGAAGGCAGCUCCAGCCUGGAGGAUUUCCGGUCUCAAUUGAAAUCCAUUCUAUGUGACCCCCAACAUGUCAGCUUGGCAGGUAACCGCACUCCUACUGCCCCAGAGCCGUGAGUCACUCUCCCUUAAAGAUUUUGCAGCACUGUCGCUGUGACUGAAACCAGCCACCAUAGGAAAGAGACCCUGAGCCUGAAAUACAAUGGACCAAAUUCUCAUUUAGCCAGACCCUCUAUCUACAUUACUCCAGUUCUGUGAUUCCCCAAGCAUUCACAAACCAUGAGUGAGGCCCUAAAAAGCCUGAAAUUGGUUUAUUUUAGGAAUAUUAUACAGUUUGGGUUGUUUCUAUUUGCUGUCUAGUGAGCCACUUGGGUCCUGCAGUCAAGUUUUUCUCUAUAAUGAUGCGGCUAGGAGCUUUCCUUUGUGAAACUGAGAGUCUCACCUAAUCCUCUGGCUCCAGGGGCUUAAAAAAAACAGCAAAAUUCACAGGACAUGUAAUAAAAGCAUGACAGAUGUACAUGAUGCUAAUGUGACACUAUGAAGGGGGGGUCAUGAUAGGAGUAAACUUCCAUUUGUAAGUCAAAGUGUUCAGGAGACAGAAGGUUAUUCCAACAAAACCUGGAAACGUUCCAAUGCAAAAAGUGUUCUGUGAAGAAUUUCUUUUUGGAAAAAAAGGCAAUUUGUCUUUUUGCUAGUCAGCUCCCCUCAUAACUGCAGCAGGAAAACAAUGAUCAGACAGCAGAGUGAUUUUUGUAAGUUGAUGUGAAGACUAUAAUACACUAUAUUACUCUUGGUGCAGUAGCAGUGAUGUACUUGUCAGCAGACGGUCAGGGCUCCCUAUAUCUGUCCCUUAAUGACAGGCUGAAGUUCUUUUAAA